RNAcentral lists this long non-coding RNA (426 nucleotides) under Mus musculus (house mouse). RNAcentral's name for it is "predicted gene, 47531". The record is from RNAcentral. Lineage: Eukaryota; Metazoa; Chordata; Mammalia; Rodentia; Muridae.
AUCAAAAAGAGGAAGCUGGGCUGAACAGGAGCCUUCACCCUUCAGCACCUGAGUACAAACUCGCCAGGUGAGCAGCUGCCUCAAGCACAUCACCUCCCUGUCAUAACAGACAAUGGCCUUGAGCUGUGAGCCUGGGGAGAGAAUUUCUGGACCCAGUGUGAUAAUAAUACAGAUCAAUCGCCCUAGAUGGCUUGAAACUAUUCUAGAUUCUAGUCUUUCGAGAGUGGGAGCAGACAGCCCAGGACCCAAUCUGUGUUCAAACACUGCAUCUGUGAGCAGAGACAAGCACUUUGGCCAAAUUCCAACUGGUGGAUUCAACGAAGAAUAACGCGAGCCUCGGAUUCUCCAUUGUUGGGACAAAGACAAUGUGUGGCUACGUGUCUGGUCUCCUGGAAGAGUGCUCUUUACCUCUGGCCUGUCUCUCCA